This is a long non-coding RNA of Oreochromis aureus, 573 nucleotides long. The record is from Ensembl. NCBI's taxonomy places the organism in Eukaryota, Metazoa, Chordata, Actinopteri, Cichliformes, Cichlidae.
CCUCAUCGUGUUUUCAUUCUUCACCAGUACAGCACGUCAGUUCUUCCUCCAUUCACAAAGCAGUGAUGGCGUGCAUCAGAUUCAUCAAGUGCUUGUUUCUCUUUAUAAUUCUGUUCAUCUUAUCUCUCCUGUGCCUAAUUUUCAUGGCAAGCUGGGCCAAGGACCAAGUGCCGCUGUUGUUCUCUGAAGUUUCAGGAAUUACUGAAAGAGUACAAGAAGUUGACAAAUACAAAAUGUGUCAUUUUGCAAGUUGCUCAAAAGGCUUUGAGGCUUUGAAAGUCUGUUAUGUGUGUUGACAUAAAACAAGGGUUAUUAGGUUAUUUGUCUUUUUUUUGCUUGUGAUAAUUUUUAAUGACCUACCAUUACCUUCUUGGCUGCUGUUAACUAAAUGCUCAGACAAUGCCAUUGGUCAGUUGCAAUGUUGGUCCUGGACGAAUAUUAUUAUAAAAAUGUAGCAAUGAUACCAACACAAUAAUCGUAUGCAAAAAUCAUAGAAGUAUAAUAUUUCCCUGUACUUACUACACCACUCACUUUAGUGUAGUAAAUUUAAUUGUACCAUUUUUUUUCCAUUAG